RNAcentral lists this ribosomal RNA (320 nucleotides) under Onchidina australis. RNAcentral describes it as "partial 12S ribosomal RNA". Lineage: Eukaryota; Metazoa; Mollusca; Gastropoda; Systellommatophora; Onchidiidae. The record is from RNAcentral.
CUAAGCACUAAGAUCGUAGGAUUAAAACUUAAAGAGCAUGGCGGCCACCAAAAUUGUCAGGGGAACUUACCGGGUAAUAGAUAACCCACACGACACACUACUUAACUUAAAGUUUGUAUACCGCCGUCUUCAGGUCUCACUUAUGGUGGCACCUAAAAGCAGUAAAGCAGAAAGACAGGUCAUGGUGCAGCCAAUAGUUAAGCCUCAGGCGAGUUACAAUGAGGCUUUUUUCUCGGAUUUGAAUUGAACUAACUUUAAUGAAGGUGGACUUGAAAGUAAAGCCUAAAGGAAAUAAGGCUUGAAUUUCCUUUUUGUGGUGC